CCAUAUACAGCUGCAAACAAUUCUACGUACACUUACAUAGAGAGUUACAUAUAUAUAUAUAUAUAUAUAUAUAUAUAUUUAUAUAUAUAUAUAUAUAUGUAACUCUCUAUGUAAGUGUACGUAGAAUUGUUUGCAGCUGUAUAUGG
Pelobates cultripes (western spadefoot toad) is the source of this 146-nucleotide non-coding RNA. The record is from the annotation of a GenBank genome assembly. NCBI's taxonomy places the organism in Eukaryota, Metazoa, Chordata, Amphibia, Anura, Pelobatidae.